GCAGUCUGGUGCCAGCAGCCGCGGUAAUUCCAGCUCCAAUAGCGUAUAUUAAAGUUGUUGCAGUUAAAAAGCUCGUAGUUGAACUUUGGGCCUGGGCGGACGGUCUACCUAUGGUAAGCACUGUUGCGGCCGGGUCUUUCCUUCUGGCUAGCCCUCGGGCGAACCAGGACGAUUACUUUGAGGAAAUUAGAGUGUUCAAAGCAGGCCUUUGCUCGGAUAUAUUAGCAUGGAAUAAUAGAAUAGGACGCAUGGUUCUAUUUUGUUGGUUUCUAGGACCAUCGUAAUGAUUAAUAGGGACGGUCGGGGGCAUCAGUAUUCAGUCGUCAGAGGUGAAAUUCUUGGAUUUAUUGAAGACUAACUACUGCGAAAGCAUUUGCCAA
RNAcentral lists this ribosomal RNA (380 nucleotides) under uncultured fungus. RNAcentral's name for it is "SSU rRNA". It matches the Rfam family "Eukaryotic small subunit ribosomal RNA", at positions 556 to 961 of the family's 1831-position model. The record is from RNAcentral. Lineage: Eukaryota; Fungi.